This 64-nucleotide transfer RNA is filed under the name Dipodomys ordii (Ord's kangaroo rat). It matches the Rfam family "tRNA". From Rfam's summary of the family: Transfer RNA (tRNA) molecules are approximately 80 nucleotides in length. Their secondary structure includes four short double-helical elements and three loops (D, anti-codon, and T loops). Lineage: Eukaryota; Metazoa; Chordata; Mammalia; Rodentia; Heteromyidae. The record is from Rfam by way of RNAcentral.
GGUGGCUCAGUGGUAGAGCUCUUACCUUACAUGCAUGAGGCCCUGGGUUAGAUUCCCAGCACCA